This 498-nucleotide unclassified non-coding RNA is filed under the name Bombus terrestris (buff-tailed bumblebee). RNAcentral's name for it is "misc RNA ENSBTSG00005037707.1". The record is from RNAcentral. Lineage: Eukaryota; Metazoa; Arthropoda; Insecta; Hymenoptera; Apidae.
AAUAUAUAAUAUUUCUUUGAUAUCUGAUACAUGAUACAUUCUCUGAACACUUUCACAAAAAGAUAACAAAGAAUUGUCGUUAUUCAUAACAAAUAUCCUACAGAAGAGUGAUACAUCAAAACUAAAGUGAACUCUUAAUUAUAUUCCGAACAAUGAAAUUCAACUCGGUCAGAAUUUCCUCAGCUCUUGUCAAAGGUUCAAGAUUUGUCAUCUGACGGACAAUUUAAACAUUCCUACAUAAACUCGUACUCCCAUGGUGGCAAUAAUAAAACAAAGCAUUGUUUGGUCGAGCCGUGGCCGAUCCAUAGUCAGCCACAUAUCGUGCAAUUAAAAAAGCCAGUGGUACUCUCUCAUAUAUACUUCGCGAUAGUAAAUAUACAUAUAUUGGCUAAUAAAGUAUUUGAACAACAAUACAAACUUUUGAUAAAUAUAUUAUGCACGUUGUACAAACAAUGAAUAUAUUGGUGAGGUUUGAAAUGUACAGAUGGUACAAUGUAU